GAUGAACGCUGGCGGCGUGCCUAAUACAUGCAAGUCGAGCGAACAGACGAGGAGCUUGCUCCUCUGACGUUAGCGGCGGACGGGUGAGUAACACGUGGAUAACCUACCUAUAAGACUGGGAUAACUUCGGGAAACCGGAGCUAAUACCGGAUAAUAUAUUGAACCGCAUGGUUCAAUAGUGAAAGACGGUUUUGCUGUCACUUAUAGAUGGAUCCGCGCCGCAUUAGCUAGUUGGUAAGGUAACGGCUUACCAAGGCAACGAUGCGUAGCCGACCUGAGAGGGUGAUCGGCCACACUGGAACUGAGACACGGUCCAGACGCCUACGGGAGGCAGCAGUAGGGAAUCGUCCGCAAUGGGCGAAAGCCUGACGGAGCAACGCCGCGUGAGUGAUGAAGGUCUUCGGAUCGUAAAACUCUGUUAUUAGGGAAGAACAAAUGUGUAAGUAACUAUGCACGUCUUGACGGUACCUAAUCAGAAAGCCACGGCUAACUACGUG
Molecule: ribosomal RNA, 497 nt
Filed under: uncultured bacterium
Lineage: Bacteria
Description: partial 16S ribosomal RNA
Rfam family: Bacterial small subunit ribosomal RNA
Source: RNAcentral